GCCUGUUCCAACUGUUACUUCGUGGCCUUGGAAGGACAAUAAGGUUUUACGCCCUAGCAACAAACAGCCGUCGGGGAAUUGGUUGCGUCAUUUCGACCGCGUUCUGAGAAGACACUAUCGGACUGGACAUAUUGCACUCUUAUUUCUGCGAGUGCUUGUGUGACGGACAAAUUUAAAAUAGUAGUGUGUCCUUAGGCGCGUGCGAUGACCCGGUUAUGUGACCAAAAUAUGCGGAAACUGGGUUUUCACUGAGAAGGCUAGAAUGGUGCGGAAGUCAUUCGGGCGACUCGCUGUCGCUGUCGCGGCGCUCAUAGUUCUGGGACUCUUGGGCCUCGAGAAAACGAGAGCCCUGGCGGAUAAGGUCAAAGGUAUUGUGGAUUUCGACUACGUCACCCCUGCGUCUAAAGGCAAAGAUCAAAGAACGGGCAA
Molecule: long non-coding RNA, 429 nt
Organism: Dermacentor andersoni
Lineage: Eukaryota; Metazoa; Arthropoda; Arachnida; Ixodida; Ixodidae
Source: RefSeq, a predicted model, not a curated record